UGGGGAAUUUUGGACAAUGGGCGAAAGCCUGAUCCAGCAAUGCCGCGUGUGUGAAGAAGGCCUUCGGGUUGUAAAGCACUUUUGUCCGGAAAGAAAUCCUUGGCUCUAAUACAGUCGGGGGAUGACGGUACCGGAAGAAUAAGCACCGGCUAACUACGUGCCAGCAGCCGCGGUAAUACGUAGGGUGCAAGCGUUAAUCGGAAUUACUGGGCGUAAAGCGUGCGCAGGCGGUUUGCUAAGACCGAUGUGAAAUCCCCGGGCUCAACCUGGGAACUGCAUUGGUGACUGGCAGGCUAGAGUAUGGCAGAGGGGGGUUAGAAUUCCACGUGUAGCAGUGAAAUGCGUAGAGAUGUGGAGGAAUACCGAUGGCGAAGGCAGCCCCCUGGGCCAAUACUGACGCUCAUGCACGAAAGCGUGGGGAGCAAACAGGAUUAGAUACCCUGGUAGUCCACGCCCUAAACGAUGUCAACUAGUUGUUGGGGAUUCAUUUCCUUAGUAACGUAGCUAACGCGUGAAGUUGACCGCCUGGGGAGUACGGUCGCAAGAUUAAAACUCAAAUGAAUUGACGGGGUCAUAGCUGUUUUCCU
RNAcentral lists this ribosomal RNA (587 nucleotides) under uncultured bacterium. Its description in RNAcentral is "partial 16S ribosomal RNA". It matches the Rfam family "Bacterial small subunit ribosomal RNA", at positions 355 to 1375 of the family's 1533-position model. The record is from RNAcentral.